AUAACACACCGAAAGGUGUACUAAUACCGCAUAAGACCACGGGAUCACAUGGUUCUGAGGUAAAAGAUUUAUCGGUUUGGGGUGGGCUCGCGUCCGAUUAGGUAGUUGGUGAGGUAACGGCCCACCAAGCCGACGAUCGGUAGCCGACCUGAGAGGGUGAUCGGCCACAUUGGGACUGAGACACGGCCCAAACUCCUACGGGAGGCAGCAGUGGGGAAUAUUGGGCAAUGGAGGAAACUCUGACCCAGCAACGCCGCGUGGAGGAAGAAGGUUUUCGGAUCGUAAACUCCUGUCCUUGGAGACGAGUAGAAGACGGUAUCCAAGGAGGAAGCCCCGGCUAACUACGUGCCAGCAGCCGCGGUAAUACGUAGGGGGCAAGCGUUGUCCGGAAUAAUUGGGCGUAAAGGGCGCGUAGGCGGCUCGGUAAGUCUGGAGUGAAAGUCCUGCUUUUAAGGUGGGAAUUGCUUUGGAUACUGUCGGGCUUGAGUGCAGGAGAGGUUAGUGGAAUUCCCAGUGUAGCGGUGAAAUGCGUAGAGAUUGGGAGGAACACCAGUGGCGAAGGCGACUAACUGGACUGUAACUGACGCUGAGGCGCGAAAGUGUGGGGAGCAUACAGGAUUAGAUACCCUGGUAGUCCACACUGUAAAC
This 648-nucleotide ribosomal RNA is filed under the name uncultured bacterium. RNAcentral's name for it is "bacterial SSU rRNA". It matches the Rfam family "Bacterial small subunit ribosomal RNA", at positions 143 to 807 of the family's 1533-position model. The record is from RNAcentral.